CAGUUAAAACGCCCGUAGUUGAAUGAGUGGACUUGUGCGGGAUGGACCGCAAGGAAAGUUUUGUACGAGUUCAAUAUUUUGGCAACAUGGGCCAUUGAGUUGGGACAUGGUAGCCAGAGCAUUUACUUUGAAAAAAUUAGAGUGUUUAAAGCAGGCGCACGUUUGAAUAGAUUAGCAUGGGAUAAUAGAAUAGGACUUUGGAUCUAUUUUGUUGGUUUCUAGGACCAAAGUAAUGAUGAAUAGGGACAGUCGGGGGUAUUUGUAUUACAUAGUCAGAGGUGAAAUUCUUGGAUUUAUGUAGGACAAACUAUUGCGAAGGCAUUUACCAAGGAUGUUUUCAUUAAUCAAGGACGAUAGUCAGGUGAUCAAAGACGAUUAGAUACCGUCGUAGUCUUGACCGUAAACGAUGCCGACUAGGGAUCGGACGAGGAUAUGAUAGUCACGUUCGGCACCUUGUGAGAAAUCAAAGUUUUUGGGUUCCGGGGGGAGUAUGGUCGCAAGGCUGAAACUUGAAGGAAUUGACGGAAGGGCACCACCAGGAGUGGAGCCUGCGGCUUAAUUUGACUCAACACGGGGAAACUCACCAGGUCCAGACAUAGUAAGGAUUGACAGAUUGAGAGCUCUUUCUUGAUUCUAUGGGUGGUGGUGCAUGGCCGUUCUUAGUUGGUGGAGUGAUUUGUCUGGUUAAUUCCGAUAACGAACGAGACCUUGACCUGCUAAAUAGUCAAGCCAACACUGUUGGUUCGAAUUGACUUCUUAGAGGGACUGUAGACUAAAGUCUACGGAAGUUU
This 791-nucleotide ribosomal RNA is filed under the name Batrachochytrium dendrobatidis. Its description in RNAcentral is "SSU rRNA". It matches the Rfam family "Eukaryotic small subunit ribosomal RNA", at positions 616 to 1446 of the family's 1831-position model. The record is from RNAcentral. Lineage: Eukaryota; Fungi; Chytridiomycota; Chytridiomycetes; Rhizophydiales.